AUGCAUGUCUUAGUACAGGCCGUUUCACGGCGAGACCGCGAACGGCUCAUUAAAUCAGUUAUGAUUCAUUUGAUAAGUCCCCCAUUACUCGGAUAACCGUGGUAAUUCUAGAGCUAAUACGUGAAUGCAAAUACUCCAGCCGCCAGGUAGGAGUGCUUUUAUUAGAGUACAACCAAUCGGACCCCGGUCCGCAAGCAAAGUUGUGACGAUUCUGAAUAACUUUUUGCCGAGAGCACGGUCUCCGCACCGGCUCCAUGUCUUUCGAGUUUCUGCCUUAUCAUGCUGUGGAUUGUAGGCCACGAGCCUACACUGGCUGUUACGGGUAACGGAGAAUCAGGGUUCGAUUCCGGAGAGGGAGCCUGAGAAACGGCUACCACA
This 378-nucleotide ribosomal RNA is filed under the name Processidae sp. USNM IZ 1450109. RNAcentral describes it as "SSU rRNA". It matches the Rfam family "Eukaryotic small subunit ribosomal RNA", at positions 51 to 414 of the family's 1831-position model. The record is from RNAcentral. Lineage: Eukaryota; Metazoa; Arthropoda; Malacostraca; Decapoda; Processidae.